This 630-nucleotide ribosomal RNA is filed under the name Triticum aestivum (bread wheat). Its description in RNAcentral is "partial small subunit ribosomal RNA". The record is from RNAcentral. Lineage: Eukaryota; Viridiplantae; Streptophyta; Magnoliopsida; Poales; Poaceae.
AUGCGUUGCCCACUCCCAUCGAUCCCAUCUAUCGUUUCCGCCGCCGCCGCCCCGAAAAAACUCCAUCAAUCCCCAUCCUUGCUUGCCCACUCCCAUCGAUCAUUGUCACCGCCGCCGCCGCCGUCCGAUGGGGGAGACGUCGCCGCUGUCGCCGCCGCCGUCCGAGGGGGAGACGUCGCCGCCGCCGCUGCAAGGUAUGGCAGUUUGAAUCCCGCCCCCGCCUCUGCAAGGCAGGGCGGUUUCAAUCCCACCGCCGCCGAACUCCGGGAAUCGCCGCCGCCAAGUCUCCAGGGCAGGGCGGUUUCAAACCCUGCCGACGAACACCGGGAUAUGCAUAAUCGUCGCUGCCGCCCCCUCCCCCGGCUGCCCCAUGGUCUUCUAUCUCUCCCAACUCCGCUGCGUCUUCCGUCUCUGCAUGAAUCGCUGUUGUGGCAGCCACUCCCCAUGGCGGCCAUCCGGGCACACCGUUUCCGGGAUGAUGGAGGUGAUGUCGGCCAGUUCCCUGUUUUUGUUGGCAUCUUCUGCGAUGGGACCCGUGGGGGCAGGUCGCGCGCUGCUCAUCUGCGUCGAUGGCGUCGGUGUCGUCCUUCCCCUGCCAAGCAUGGCAGCUCCUUGGCUGGAUCACAGUGA